Long non-coding RNA from Bombus impatiens (common eastern bumble bee), 2052 nucleotides. RefSeq lists it as uncharacterized. The record is from RefSeq and is a predicted model, not a curated record. The transcript has 2 exons. Lineage: Eukaryota; Metazoa; Arthropoda; Insecta; Hymenoptera; Apidae.
GGCCCUGUUAAACCGAUCGAGUCGCCGAUGGGGCUUCGAUCAUUCGAUUUCUUGUUCGAUUUUUUCACAACGAAGAUCCCUGUAACCGCAAUAGCGAGAGAAGAUGAAAGAGAAACAAAGAUAAUUGGCGAGGAUCGUGGUGGGGCUUAAGACAGCCUGCGCCAACUCUCUGGGAACGAGUACAUACGCCGUCGAAGAUGGUUAGGCGAGUACAGAGGGGCGAGGAAGAGGAGGUAGAAGCUGCUUAAGGAGGCCACGGAAUCUGCAGACGUCUCACCGUCGACCAGUUUUCUCAUACGGUCGACAUAUGGUAUGUACCCGGUGGCCUAAACUUCCACAGGAUAAAUCUCUACCUGAGGUGAGCCCUUGACCUGCCUUCUAAUGCAAAACUGAUUAUUACAAGCAACAUAUAUUAUCAGAUGUUAACUCAAAAACAUUAAGAAUGGCGUUCAUAUCAUCUCUUAAAUCCUUUUCUGGUUUCCCAUGUAUGUACAUAGAUUCUGAAUUCUAUAAAAUAAGGAGAUCUAAAUACUACAGUCUAGACUAGUAUGGCUGAAUUAGUAUACCAAGCUUGUGUGAGCUAAGUCCGAUGAUAUGACUCAAGUCUUGCCAAGGUCUGGGUUAAAUAUAAGUCUAGGCUGGGUCUAGGUUGAAUCUACUUAUAUUAUCGAAAUGAAAUCUUAUAUUUCUACUAAUAUUUGUAAUUUAUGUUACGCGAGAGUUAUCCAGAAUUAAAAUGGAACAAGAUGGUUAUUUAGAACGCGAAAAACGAAAUCAGUCUCUUUGGAAUGUCCGAAUCGAUGACUCGGCUCUAACGACUGUAAUCUGAUAAGGAUCGAUUUCAAGGCAUCAUGAGGUGAUUUUUGGACAGUUCUCUCGGUCACUCAAAUCUGGCGAAGGUGUUGGCGGUCUCCGCCAUAAGGAACGAGAGGAAAGGAAGGAAACUGCAGCUAGUGUAAAAAGGGAACUGGUUUAAAGCGCGGUAGCGCUAUCUGCGGACCAGAAUUCGCCUACUUAGCAGCAUAAAGCUAUUGCACGUAACAAUCAACUAGCGUAUCUUGACAGUAGGAGAAAGUGUACUCUAUACAGGCCCGGACUUCCACUUUUCUAACUCACGCAAACCAAAUCUUCGCCUGUGGAAAACGCAACAAGUAAAGUCUGGCUUAUACUAAUUUUUAUAGAAAGUAGAGACGAUAGGAAAGUCAGAAGUGGCUUACGAAAGUAUUCGAAAACUGUUAGAAGCUUUUUAUGUAUAUAUAUUAUGUAUAUAUAUUAUACAAAACAUUUUGAAAUCUGAUAUGGAUCAAAUUUGAAAUAGAUCUGAAAAUUAUAUAUAUAGAGGUUACAAGAUACUUAUUGGAAGCAUACGCUGCGCGUAAAUUAGCAAAGUAUUUGAAGUCAAUUAUUAUUCACUAUAUUAAUAAGCCACAAUGUUUAGUGAGACUAUCUUUAGUAUUAAUUGUACGUUUAAGACUAUUAUUGACUUAAGAUUUCCACGAUGAUUUUCUGAAUUCAUCAUAUUUGAUCUUCAGGUUAUCAAUCGUGUUAUAUAUUAUUUUGUAAGCCGAUCUGAAACUGUUUCCAGGUUUCUUUUUAUGGCAGAUUUCCAUUGGCCAACCAGAGGCACUUUUUUGACCAUAAAAAGCAUUAACAAAAUCUGAAAAUACUCAGUUUCAGUAUAACACUGAAGAAGUGAAAUACAACGUCCACGAAACGUCGGCUUGCAAAGCAAUAUAUAAUAUGAUUGAUAACCUGAAGACCAAUUAUGAAUAGUAUUUAUGCUGUAUACUAAUUUUCUACUGAGUGUAUAUUUGCGAUAUAUGUCUUGUAAUUUCUAUAUACAUUUCCAAUUAACACGUUAGUACAAUAAUUACGAUGAUCGUGUCUCGUUACAGUGUUAACGAGUUUUCAAAAAGUUUUGUAGAAUGCAUAUAAUAUAUUCAUAAAAAAUUUUGUGGUCGGUAUACGAGUACUUCUGUGAACCAUUGCUUUUUUGAUAGAAAAUUAUGAUAAUCGUAUGUUAUGUUGCACAUACAUGUACGUUUGACAGCG